This 814-nucleotide ribosomal RNA is filed under the name uncultured bacterium. RNAcentral describes it as "bacterial SSU rRNA". It matches the Rfam family "Bacterial small subunit ribosomal RNA", at positions 616 to 1431 of the family's 1533-position model. The record is from RNAcentral.
GGGAACUGCGUUNUGAACUGGGUGACUAGAGUGUGUCAGAGGGAGGUAGAAUUCCACGUGUAGCAGUGAAAUGCGUAGAGAUGUGGAGGAAUACCGAUGGCGAAGGCAGCCUCCUGGGAUAACACUGACGUUCAUGCCCGAAAGCGUGGGUAGCAAACAGGAUUAGAUACCCUGGUAGUCCACGCCCUAAACGAUGUCGAUUAGCUGUUGGGCAGCAUGACUGCUUAGUAGCGAAGCUAACGCGUAAAAUCGACCGCCUGGGGAGUACGGUCGCAAGAUUAAAACUCAAAGGAAUUGACGGGGACCCGCACAAGCGGUGGAUGAUGUGGAUUAAUUCGAUGCAACGCGAAGAACCUUACCUGGUCUUGACAUGUACGGAACCCUCCAGAGACGGAGGGGUGCCUUCGGGAGCCGUAACACAGGUGCUGCAUGGCUGUCGUCAGCUCGUGUCGUGAGAUGUUGGGUUAAGUCCCGCAACGAGCGCAACCCUUGUCAUUAGUUGCCAUCAUUAAGUUGGGCACUCUAAUGAGACUGCCGGUGACAAGCCGGAGGAAGGUGGGGAUGACGUCAAGUCCUCAUGGCCCUUAUGACCAGGGCUUCACACGUCAUACAAUGGUCGGUACAGAGGGUAGCCAAGCCGCGAGGUGGAGCCAAUCUCACAAAACCGAUCGUAGUCCGGAUUGCACUCUGCAACUCGAGUGCAUGAAGUCGGAAUCGCUAGUAAUCGCAGGUCAGCAUACUGCGGUGAAUACGUUCCCGGGUCUUGUACACACCGCCCGUCACACCAUGGGAGUGGGGGAUACCAGAAGUAGGU